This 1528-nucleotide ribosomal RNA is filed under the name Klebsiella pneumoniae. RNAcentral describes it as "bacterial SSU rRNA". It matches the Rfam family "Bacterial small subunit ribosomal RNA". The record is from RNAcentral. Lineage: Bacteria; Pseudomonadati; Pseudomonadota; Gammaproteobacteria; Enterobacterales; Enterobacteriaceae.
AGAGUUUGAUCAUGGCUCAGAUUGAACGCUGGCGGCAGGCCUAACACAUGCAAGUCGAGCGGUAGCACAGAGAGCUUGCUCUCAGGUGACGAGCGGCGGACGGGUGAGUAAUGUCUGGGAAACUGCCUGAUGGAGGGGGAUAACUACUGGAAACGGUAGCUAAUACCGCAUAACGUCGCAAGACCAAAGUGGGGGACCUUCGGGCCUCAUGCCAUCAGAUGUGCCCAGAUGGGAUUAGCUAGUAGGUGGGGUAAUGGCUCACCUAGGCGACGAUCCCUAGCUGGUCUGAGAGGAUGACCAGCCACACUGGAACUGAGACACGGUCCAGACUCCUACGGGAGGCAGCAGUGGGGAAUAUUGCACAAUGGGCGCAAGCCUGAUGCAGCCAUGCCGCGUGUGUGAAGAAGGCCUUCGGGUUGUAAAGCACUUUCAGCGGGGAGGAAGGCGUUAAGGUUAAUAACCUUGGCGAUUGACGUUACCCGCAGAAGAAGCACCGGCUAACUCCGUGCCAGCAGCCGCGGUAAUACGGAGGGUGCAAGCGUUAAUCGGAAUUACUGGGCGUAAAGCGCACGCAGGCGGUCUGUCAAGUCGGAUGUGAAAUCCCCGGGCUCAACCUGGGAACUGCAUUCGAAACUGGCAGGCUAGAGUCUUGUAGAGGGGGGUAGAAUUCCAGGUGUAGCGGUGAAAUGCGUAGAGAUCUGGAGGAAUACCGGUGGCGAAGGCGGCCCCCUGGACAAAGACUGACGCUCAGGUGCGAAAGCGUGGGGAGCAAACAGGAUUAGAUACCCUGGUAGUCCACGCCGUAAACGAUGUCGAUUUGGAGGUUGUGCCCUUGAGGCGUGGCUUCCGGAGCUAACGCGUUAAAUCGACCGCCUGGGGAGUACGGCCGCAAGGUUAAAACUCAAAUGAAUUGACGGGGGCCCGCACAAGCGGUGGAGCAUGUGGUUUAAUUCGAUGCAACGCGAAGAACCUUACCUGGUCUUGACAUCCACAGAACUUUCCAGAGAUGGAUUGGUGCCUUCGGGAACUGUGAGACAGGUGCUGCAUGGCUGUCGUCAGCUCGUGUUGUGAAAUGUUGGGUUAAGUCCCGCAACGAGCGCAACCCUUAUCCUUUGUUGCCAGCGGUUAGGCCGGGAACUCAAAGGAGACUGCCAGUGAUAAACUGGAGGAAGGUGGGGAUGACGUCAAGUCAUCAUGGCCCUUACGACCAGGGCUACACACGUGCUACAAUGGCAUAUACAAAGAGAAGCGACCUCGCGAGAGCAAGCGGACCUCAUAAAGUAUGUCGUAGUCCGGAUUGGAGUCUGCAACUCGACUCCAUGAAGUCGGAAUCGCUAGUAAUCGUAGAUCAGAAUGCUACGGUGAAUACGUUCCCGGGCCUUGUACACACCGCCCGUCACACCAUGGGAGUGGGUUGCAAAAGAAGUAGGUAGCUUAACCUUCGGGAGGGCGCUUACCACUUUGUGAUUCAUGACUGGGGUGAAGUCGUAACAAGGUAACCGUAGGGGAACCUGCGGUUGGAUCACCU